UACGAAGGGGGCUAGCGUUGCUCGGAAUCACUGGGCGUAAAGCGCACGUAGGCGGAUCUUUAAGUCAGGGGUGAAAUCCUGGAGCUCAACUCCAGAACUGCCUUUGAUACUGGGGAUCUCGAGUCCGGAAGAGGUGAGUGGAACUCCGAGUGUAGAGGUGAAAUUCGUAGAUAUUAGGAAGAACACCAGUGGCGAAGGCGGCUCACUGGUCCGGUACUGACGCUGAGGUGCGAAAGCGUGGGGAGCAAACAGG
This 253-nucleotide ribosomal RNA is filed under the name uncultured bacterium. Its description in RNAcentral is "partial 16S ribosomal RNA". It matches the Rfam family "Bacterial small subunit ribosomal RNA", at positions 524 to 776 of the family's 1533-position model. The record is from RNAcentral.